GCAACGCCUGAUGAAGCAACGUUCCCACCACAGCAUCCACCUUAACCUUCCAAAUGCCACUGCUGUGAAGAGGAGCCAUCGCAGAUCGCCAUGGCGACAGAGCCCUUCUGACCCAGGGGAUCCACUGCUCUCAGGCACUGUCCAACCGACACCUGGUGACAGAGGAGCCCGACAGCCUCUGGCUGACCCUCUGGAGACAGAAGGGCACACGGCUGCCAUUUUCGUCGAUGCCUCAUCGGGGCAGUCAGGAAGUGCACAGGCUGAAUCACAGAUUAUCUUCAGGAACACAACUGGGUGACAUGGCAAGUGCAGUGAACAACUCACUCUCCAACAUGCGCCAUCACUAUGCUCAAAAGGAACCUAUUCUCUUCUGUUCUAUUUACUCAUUGCUUCAACUCAUAGAACCCAAAUGGAUGUGUGCAGUGUUCACUAAUAUGAAGACCCUGAAUCAGAGUCAUAGGGAGCUGUGAGAGAAUUUUCUGCAACACUGUUAUUGUCUCAUAGCCUGUGUCCAAUAAGGGAGCUACUGGCCACAUGCAGCUAUUGUACACUUGAAAUGUGACUAGUGGCUACAGAAUUAGCACAACUAUGCAUAUAAGCAUAACUAAGCAAUAAGCAUAACUAAGUUAGCCUUAGAAUAGGAUAACUCCAUCACCCCAACUUAUAUUUUCUGGACAUGUGCCAGCCGCAAAGAGUUGUGUGUCAUGGUGUCCUGGCCUUCGGGAGAUCCAUAUGGUCGCCUUUUUCGGAAAAUGUGUCCUACUCUAGAGCAAGGGAUGAUGAAGAGCUUACCGCCACACAUCCAGAUCUGGCCAGAAGCAAAAACAGGUGUUAACAGUUGCCUCAUGUUGUUGUGAAACCAAUGUAUGAAUUUUCAAUGAAAUUAAUCUUUAUUCAAUAGGUGUUUAUGAAACUU
This 916-nucleotide long non-coding RNA is filed under the name Homo sapiens (human). Its description in RNAcentral is "HSALNT0130905". Lineage: Eukaryota; Metazoa; Chordata; Mammalia; Primates; Hominidae. The record is from RNAcentral.